RNAcentral lists this ribosomal RNA (435 nucleotides) under Diderma aurantiacum. Its description in RNAcentral is "partial small subunit ribosomal RNA". It matches the Rfam family "Bacterial small subunit ribosomal RNA", at positions 537 to 953 of the family's 1533-position model. The record is from RNAcentral. Lineage: Eukaryota; Evosea; Eumycetozoa; Physariida; Didymiaceae.
AGUGUUAUUCGUGAUGACUGGGCGUAGGGUACGUAGGCGGCUAGAUUUAUAUAUAGUAAAAGGCUCGGGAGGUCCCGUUCAAUCUAUAUUUACUAAUCAGCUGAGUUCUAAGGGCGAUCUAUUGAAUUCCUUAAGUAAGGGUUAAAUUGUUGAUAUUGGAAGACAUUCGAAAGCGAAAGCAUUUAUGACUUAGAUCUGACGCUAGGUACUAAAGUAUGGGUAUGAAGAGGAUUAGAGACCUUGUAGUCCAUACCUUAAACUAUGAGUGUUAACGUCCUCUUUUAUUGCAUUGAACAUCUACGGAUGUUCCUUAGCAUGGAAUUUGAGGGGGUUUAAAGCUAACGCGUGAAACACCGCCUGGGGAAUGUGGCCGCAAGGUUAAACUCAAAGGAAUUGAGGAGACUUGUACAAGGGGUGGAGAUGUGGUUUAAUUCG